Molecule: non-coding RNA, 149 nt
Organism: Streptococcus equi subsp. zooepidemicus H70
Lineage: Bacteria; Bacillati; Bacillota; Bacilli; Lactobacillales; Streptococcaceae
Source: Rfam
AUGCGAUGAGUCGAUUGUGAUUUUUAAAUCACAGUUGUGCUGGGGAGGUCAUUAAGGCAGGAGCCGACUUUGAUAAUUUGUGUGAACCUUUUUAUCACAUUCGUGACACGAAUGCCCCUGAGAGCUGAGAGUUUUUCUCAGCUUUUUUA